Molecule: ribosomal RNA, 253 nt
Filed under: uncultured bacterium
Lineage: Bacteria
Description: partial 16S ribosomal RNA
Rfam family: Bacterial small subunit ribosomal RNA
Source: RNAcentral
UACGUAGGGGGCAAGCGUUAUCCGGAUUUACUGGGUGUAAAGGGGGCGCAGACGGCAGCGCAAGCCAGGAGUGAAAGCCCGGGGCCCAACCCCGGGACUGCUCUUGGAACUGCGCGGCUGGAGUGCAGGAGGGGCAGGCGGAAUUCCUGGUGUAGCGGUGAAAUGCGUAGAUAUCAGGAGGAGCACCAGUGGCGAAGGCGGCUUGCUGGACGAUGACUGACGUUGAGGCUCGAAAGCGUGGGGAGCAAACAGG